This 619-nucleotide transfer RNA is filed under the name Acinetobacter pittii. Its description in RNAcentral is "partial miscellaneous RNA". The stretch from base 60 to 133 matches the Rfam family "tRNA". Lineage: Bacteria; Pseudomonadati; Pseudomonadota; Gammaproteobacteria; Moraxellales; Moraxellaceae. The record is from RNAcentral.
ACGAAAGAUUGACGAUUGGUAAGAAUCCACAACAAGUUGUUCUUCAUAGAUGUAUCUGAGGGUCUGUAGCUCAGUUGGUUAGAGCACACGCUUGAUAAGCGUGGGGUCACAAGUUCAAGUCUUGUCAGACCCACCAUGACUUUGACUGGUUGAAGUUAUAGAUAAAAGAUACAUGACUGAUGAUGUAAGCUGGGGACUUAGCUUAGUUGGUAGAGCGCCUGCUUUGCACGCAGGAGGUCAGGAGUUCGACUCUCCUAGUCUCCACCAGAACUUAAGAGAAGUUCGGAUUACAGAAAUUAGUAAAUAGAGAUUUAGAUCUUGGUUUAUUAACUUCUGUGAUUUAAGUAUCACGGUAUUAAGCAUGACCUGACGAAGGCGUGUUUAUUCAUUAACAGAUUGGCAAAAUUGAGUCUGAAAUAAAUUGUUCACUCAAGAGUUUAGGUUAAGCAAUUAAUCUAGAUGAAUUGAGAACUAGCAAAUUAACUGAAUCAAGCGUUUUGGUAUAUGAAUUUAGAUUGAAGCUGUACAGUGUUUAAGUACACAGACAACAGAUAGUAGUGAUGAAGAAUCGCACGGACAACACUCACUUGUAGGUGUUGACGACUGUUUGGGGUUGUAU